CUUCCUAUGGAUAGAAACAAGUGCAUGUGGGUACGAGAUAACUACAAUUCUCAUGCAAUCCCGAAAAGGGGGGUCAUCACAGACAAACAUGACAUUAAAUCGUUAUCACUGAACUAGUAUAUAUAUUGUAUAGGGGCUAGCUGAAGGACGCCUCCGGGUGCGGGAAUUUUUCGCUGCAUUGAAGACCUGUUGGUGACCUUAAUUCUGCUGUUGUAUGUUUUUCUAUGGUCGGGUUGUUGUCUCUUUGACAAAUUCCCCAUUUCCAUUCUCAAUUUUAUUAUACGAACAAGAACAAACAGCUCUACGUUGCUUUGAUAUUUAUCAAUUUUCAGGAAACAUUGCGAAAAAUGAUCUUCAAUAUUUCGAAAACAUGUGAAAUAAAAUUGCUAACACGGUGGACCUUCGAGUGUCAACAAACGUAGUAGACUUGUUCACUGAAAAGACGAGGAUAAUGGUUUCAUUUGACAUUUG
This 471-nucleotide long non-coding RNA is filed under the name Mytilus galloprovincialis (Mediterranean mussel). Lineage: Eukaryota; Metazoa; Mollusca; Bivalvia; Mytilida; Mytilidae. The record is from RNAcentral.